This 253-nucleotide ribosomal RNA is filed under the name uncultured bacterium. Its description in RNAcentral is "partial 16S ribosomal RNA". It matches the Rfam family "Bacterial small subunit ribosomal RNA", at positions 524 to 776 of the family's 1533-position model. The record is from RNAcentral.
UACGUAGGGGGCAAGCGUUGUCCGGAAUCAUUGGGCGUAAAGAGCGCGUAGGCGGCCCUGUAAGUCCGCUGUGAAAGUCAAGGGCUCAACCCUUGGAUGCCGGUGGAUACUGCAGGGCUAGAGUCCGGAAGAGGCGAGUGGAAUUCCUGGUGUAGCGGUGAAAUGCGUAGAUAUCUGGAGGAACACCGGUGGCGAAGGCGGCAUUCUGGACCGAUAUUGACGCUGAGGAGCGAAAGCCAGGGGAGCAAACGGG